CCAGCCCUGGUUCAGAUAGUAAGUCUGACAUACAGUUGCUUGAUGUUGAGGACUCGAGGCCGAGUCCUGAGCCAAGACCAGGACAUUCAAACUUGCAACAAGAAAGACAGGCCCCCAAACGGAAAUGUGUUGACGAGGAGCCUUUGAAUAUUGCACAGCAGAGUCUGCUCAACCCCCGUGUAGCCACAGAAGAUCAGUUCGAUUCCUAUGGCAAAACCAUGGCACAUAAGCUCAGGGGCCUUCCUCGUGAACAACGCAUCAUUGCGGAAAAGUUGUGGUCUGAAGUUCUGUUUGAGGCCGAACUUGGGAACCUCACAAGGGAGGCUACAUUAUCUUUAAAUUCCCCUGUUCAUCGAAUCAGACCGCCACAUACAGCACAAGGAGGGAACCAAGAUACCACUGAUGUUGAAAGUCGUGAUUCCGACAAUUUAAAAAGGUAAAUUCUCAAUACCGAGCCAAUAGAGGAAAGCUGCUAGACAGGCUCAAGGCACGCACAAGUAAACGACCUGCAGUUUUUGUUCUUUCGUAUGGUGACACUAGAACUAUUGUCACAUUUAUUAUUAUUUUGGGUUUAUUACAUUUUCGUUCUUAUAAUAAUU
Aplysia californica (California sea hare) is the source of this 599-nucleotide long non-coding RNA. RefSeq lists it as uncharacterized. The transcript is spliced from 2 exons. The record is from RefSeq and is a predicted model, not a curated record. NCBI's taxonomy places the organism in Eukaryota, Metazoa, Mollusca, Gastropoda, Aplysiida, Aplysiidae.